Ictidomys tridecemlineatus (thirteen-lined ground squirrel) is the source of this 11632-nucleotide non-coding RNA. The record is from RefSeq and is a predicted model, not a curated record. Lineage: Eukaryota; Metazoa; Chordata; Mammalia; Rodentia; Sciuridae.
GGGAGGGGGCUCCGGCACCGCGCGCUCGGAUGCUGGGCUGGGACAGAGCACCCGGACCCGCGGCAGCGGCGGCAGUGGCGCUACCCACCCUCUGCCACAACAUCCAUCAAGCCAGCGAGCCACCAAACCACGGGCCCUCGGGACGCCGAAAGGAGCCUGUUGGUGUGCUUCGGCCCGCACUGUGACUGGAUCUUGUCUUCUGUCUGGCGCCUCGAUUUCUGUCCGGCUGGAUUUGAGGGGCAACACUGCCUGGCACAGGGAGAUCAAAUGAGACUGCAAAGAAGCAUAAAAUGAAUAGACUAUCUAACCAACCAAAGCCACUAUCAAUCCUCAUGGGACAAAAUUGUGGCUUCCUGACUGCUUCAACAUAGCAAAGGAAAUAAUGUUCAGUUAGGUAGUGAGAGUUCUCAGCACAACAGUGGCAAACUGGAGUGUUCUUCACCAAAGUGUCACACAGAAGACAGGUUUGGCCCCCCAAAUCCCAAAAUGAGGAGAAUGCUUGUCCUGGAGAUUCUAGCACCAGGAAAAGUUUCACGUAGUUUGAUGAGAAGAUAGAAUCAGUCAAUGUUAACAAUAGCUAAACUGUAGAACCAACCUAGAUACCCUUCAGUAGAUGAAUGGAUAAAAAAAUGUGGCAUAUAUACACAAUGGAAAAUGAAAGCUUUGGGAGAACUGCAGCUAUGUGAGGUGGGUGAUGGGGAUCUUGGAUUUUAGAACAGAGAGAUCCACUUCUCAUAAUCACCAUGUUUGAAUUUUUAAAAUGUAAAACCUAGUGGUACUCACUGUAUUGCCAUCCAACUCCCUUGUAUUUGAUUCCCCAUUAACUAUUUUAUCAACUCCCAGGUCCUUCUUGAAUAAAUAUAUCUGUUGCACUAUUGAAAUUUAUUCAUCUCUAGGUGUAUCAGAAGAUUAAAAAUUUUGAGCAUGAAAGUAUAUACUGUAUGUUUCAAUGAGUGGACAAAAGUAAGUGUGCAGUUUGCAAUCCUUUAGAUGCAGUUUGCAAUCCUUUAGAUACAGUUUGAUGGACCCAGUAGACAACAUUAGUCCUUUUUAUCUGUGGCAUGUUUCCCAAGUGGAGCUUCUCUGGCCGAUUACCUCCUGAUGUAUGCUACUUCCUUAUACCUCUGCACUAUUUCGUCUUCUCAUUGGCAUUUACAGCUCCCAGGUUUGUAUCACUUAUGGAUUUUAUUCAUGUGUCAUUUACCAUUUUUUUUCCAAAUAAUUAAGCCCAAAAUUACAUUAGAGUUUGCUCAAGCUGCUUGCCACUUGGAUAAAUUACACAUCAUGGCUUCUCCAGUCAAUCACUAUCUAUUACUUGCGACAUUCUACAAGUCCCUUAACUUUAGUCAUUGUCUUCUCCAGCAGCCCUCAGAAGGACCAGUCUUACUAGAGAAUUGCAAUGAGAAAAACAAAAGUAGAUCUUUUCUGUUUUUUUUUUAAACAUUUUAAUUUGAAUGUUCUACUAUUUUUUUUGGGGGGGGGAAACAAUGUUGUUAACUCUUAUUAUAUAAUGAUUGGUCAGCUCUACCAUUUUGAAACCAGUAAGAUGGAAAAUAUUUUCUCUAAUUUGAGUUUUAAGAUACAAAUCAUGCAUCACUUAACAACACAGUCUGAGAAAUGUGUUGUUAGAUGAUUUCAUCACUGUGUAAACACCAUAGCAUGAAAACACAAGCUUAGAUGGUAUAGGUGAAUUACUUGAGUAGACAAAAUCAAGAGGCACAGUAAACAUGCCUUAAAUUUUAUUAUAUGUUUGCAUAUUUGUCAAAUUUUAUAUUAAAUAAUAAAUGUGAAAUUAAUAUUAAUUACAAAAUAAUAUUUUGUAACAAAAUUUCUAGAGAAAUAUAUCCAAUGAUAUUUAUAAUAAUAAUAUUAUUAUAUUUCAGACUGAUGAUAUAAAAGUCAUAUAAAAGUAUAUCUUCUACAAUUUUGUAUAACAUACAACAAUAUUUCAGACUGACACUUCAUUCAAGUUGGCAAUACAUUUUUGUCAUUUCAAAACAAUACAGAUAAUUGAUAAAUUUUAUCCCAUUUUACUUAAUACAUCUUUAACCAUUUCUUUCUAACCCCAAAUAUUCAAUGUGCUCAAUAUUAAGGAAAGAUGUGCAAAAUGAGCUGUGGCUUAAAUACCCAGUUGAUGGUGACACUAUCAACUCCAGAGUAGCCAAAUUUAGAAACUAUCAUUUCAUAAAUGCAUUUUUGAAUUUUUGGUACCGGGGAUUGAAACCAAGGGCACUUAACUACUGAAUCACAUUCUCAGUCCUUUUUUAUUUUUAUUUUGGGACAGGGUCUCGAUUAGUUGCUUAGAGUCUUGCUAGUUUUCUGAGGCUGGCUUUGAACUUGCAAUCCACCUCAGCCAUGAUUCACUGGGAUGAUAGGCUGUGUGUGCUACCACACCCAGCCCAGUUCUCACGCUUGAACGCUUCAGUCAUGUUUUCUUAACUUACUGCACCAGGUAGCUUCCACUCCUCAGCCCCAGCUUUUCCCUACCAUAUGACCUUGUCUUUUAAAAAAUUUUCUGUUUCUCUUACUAGAAAAUAAGCUCCCUGAAGUAGGAAAAGUGUCUUUAUUCAUUAUUUUAUUCCUAGUGGUUAACUAAUGACUGACACUCAGUAGGAAUUCAGUAAAUAUUUUUGAAAAAAAAAUGAGUGAUUAAAUGAACGAAAAGGAUGAAGAAAUUCCAUUAAUAAUUCCACUGUAGUGACUUAAUGCCCCAUUUUUUGAUAUUUAGAUUACUUAACUCUCAUAAAUAUCACUUGUAUAUAUUUCUCUGGAAAUUUUGUGUAUAUUUAUUUUCUUAAAUUCCUAGAAGAAAACUUGUUUGGCCUAAGGAUAAGUGAAAUUUUAAGAUUUUAAUAUAUAUCAUAAGUAAGUCUGGCAAUUCACACUCUCAUCAAUAUUUCAGACUGACACUUCAUUCAAGUUGGCAAUACAUUUUUGUUGUUUCAAAACAACGUAGUUAACUGAUAAAUUUUAUCCCAUUUUAAAUGAAAUAUUUUUGAUUUUUAAAUAUAUGUAUUGCUACAUAUGCAUACAAUUAUUUUAAUUUCUCCUUUUCCUUUGGUGAAUUGUCUGUUCAUAUACUUUGCCAAUUUAGUUUUGAAAACUGAUUUAUGAGUAUUUUAUAUGCUAAAGGUCUAUUUAAUUUCCUGUUAUUCAUUUUGCAAAUAUUUCCUCCUCAUCACAGUUUCUCUGUCAUCUUUGUGUAUGGUAUUAAAAAUUUAUACUAUGUUAACUUUAAAAUAUAUACAAAAGUAGAGAUAAAAUGUAUUAAUUCCAUUUAUUCAUCAUCCAGCUUCAACAAUUAUCAACUCUUGUCUAAUCUUGUUUUAUUUCUCUCCACUCGAUCUUUCUUUUUUUUCUUCCCAACUUCUGAUUAAGUUGAAGAAAAUCCCAUGCAUUGUAGCAUUUAAUCUGUAAAUACUUAAAUACAUAUAUCUAAAUGACAAAGAGCUUCUUUCUCAACAUAGACUCAAAACUCAAGUUAUAGAUAAUGGUAUUAAAGAGAAAAAUUUAACUUUUAAAAACUAUAAUCUUUUCACUUGUGGUUUCUGCUUUUGUUGUUAUCCUUAGAAAAAUUUUCCUUAUUUUAUGACUAUGAAAAUUCAUUUAUUUUGUUCUAAUUACCCUAUUAAUAUAUAGCUUUUGUAUGAAGUUUUGAAAAUACAGAAAAAUAAAAAGAUUUGAACCUCAUAUAUAUCAUUACUACAUUGAAUAGAAAUAUGAACUAUAUUCUGGAAAUAUUUUACAAUUUAUAUUUUCAAAAAUAGAAUGACACCAUACUUUGUAACAUGAUUCUUAUUGUAAACAUCGUUCUACGUCAAAACAUAUGGAUGGAUGACAUUAUUAUUUCCUAAAGCACAUAGUAUUCUAUUGUAAAAUUAUACUAUAGUUUACUUUGCUCAAUGUCUUGAUGUUAUUUGGGUAAGAGGCAAUUUUUUUAUACCUUUAUUUAUUUAUUUUUAUGCGGUGCUUACGUUCAAGCCCAGGGCCUCGCACCUGCUAGGUGAGCGCUUUACCACUGAGUCACAAUACCAGCAAGAGGAAUUUUUGACAAUGUAAAUAACUGAUUAAAUGCAUACUGAAUCCCUUUAAUAUUCUAAACAUGAUAAUUGGUGAUAUUAAAGAUACAAAGAUAAGGAAAACAAACACAUUAGCUUCCUAUGUGUAGCACACUGUAGUCAUGAACAUUUUUGCUCAAAUAUUUUUGCACCACUUUCAACUGCUUCCUUUGAAGAAAUUCCUAAAAAUGAAAAAUACUUUUAAGAGAAUGAGUUUUAUAAAUACUGUCCAAUUCUCCUGAAGAAUUAUCAUGACAUUUACAUUUCUAAACAUACUAUGUUAACAUUAAUACUAGGCAUCACUGCUCUUUUCAAUCUUCAGUAAUGUGAGAGAUGAAACAUGGUUUGUCACUGUUGUUUACAUAGCAUUUCAUUUAUUACUAGGAUGUUUACUACUUGCUCAGAUUUUAUUGAACAUUUGUAUUAUUUCUUUUGUGAAUUGUCUGUUCAUGCUCUUUGCACAUUUUUUUUCUCUCAUUCAGAUGUUUGCCUUGUUAUCUUUUACAAUUUUGCUUUUAAAAUUUAAACAAUACUUCACAACAAUCAUUAUAAGGGGAGGUCAUUAUUGUAAGCCAUUACAUUUGAUGUCUAUUUACAAUAAUAGUAACAACCCAAUUGGGAGACUUUUCUAUAUUGCCCAACACUGUAGGUAAAUAUUCUUAUACUGGAAGAUUCAAUUUAAGGUACAAAUUCAUGAACAGGUCAAAUGCUUCUUUAUAAAUAAAUGUAAAACAAUUACGUUUUUGUGUUAAAAGGGCCUUCAGUGGUUGUGAAAUUACUAAUAGAUUAUAGCAUCUUCUGGUUCAAACGUGGUAGUUUUGGCAGUGACAAAAAGUCAUUGCAACUUCCAGUUGUUGGAUCGUGCAAAAUGGAAUGGAGAACUUAGAAUAAUUUUAAUGUUAGUGUAAGAAAAGUCAUCAAUGCUGGGACAGGGAUGUAGCUCAAUGGUACAGUGCUUUCCUAGCAUGCAUGAGGCCCUGGGUUUGAUCCUUAACAUGCAUGCAUACACACACACACACACACACACACACACAAAUCACCACCACCGACAACAAAACAUCAGUGCAUGCAGUUAGCACCCUUGUGGGCAAUCUCAAAGGAAUAGCCAUGGACUGAAGUAUUGUGAAGUAGAAAAUACAUUCUUAACUUUAAGACAAAUUGGCAUGAAAACAGUUUCCUAGACGAGACUAAGAAAUUAUACCAUAGGGAUGAAUGAAUGAUUGGAAAUUGAUUUCAAUUUCUAAUACCAUUUUAAACCUCCUAUCUUUUAUGGGUAUUAAAUUAUCUUUAAAUUAAAACAAAUAAAUAGUAUAACUGUCAGACUAGGUGUCAGGAUAAACAUAGUUUCUCUACAACUAGUAAUUAGAAACUCUAACCUGAUUUACUUAAGUGGCUUUGACAAACAGGGGAAUAUAAAUCCGAUUUUUGUUUCCAAAGAGAAAAAUAACUUUUAAUCAAAAUUUUGAAAAAAAAAUGACAAUUUUUACAUUUUUUUCUAUGAGUAGUGUAUUACAUUGAUUUUCUUUAAUCACAACAGUUUUAAAAACAGGCUGAGAAAUAUCGCUUGUGUUUAUGCCACAUUUUUUGUUUUGUUUUUAUUUUUGCUUUAAUUCUCAUAUUCAAGACAGUCUGAGGUUGGGGAUGUAGCUCAGUGGUGUAGUGCUUGCCUAACCUGUGCAAGGUCCUUGGUUAGGUUCCCAGCAACACACAUGUGAUGUCUGUGUAUGCACACACACACACACACACACACACACACGCACAAAGUGGUUGGAAUGUAAGUCACUAUCACUCUUGUUUUCCAACAUGUAAAGUCAGUAACACAUUUCUAACCAAAUUAAGUGCCAGCUUGAAUGAGUAGUGUCUUGAGAAUAUGCUGAUAUUCUGCUUGUCCCCUACCCAGAAUUCUGUGGUAAAAGAUCUUUAGUCUGUGGGAAACUACUAACAGAAAAACUGAAACUAUAAAGGGUGGCAGAAAUAAUUUUAUACAUAGGGUAAAGGUUAUUAAGUUUAUUAUUUGAGUAUUUCCAUUGAAUAGAAUAGUUUUAAUUCUCCCUGUGAGUUCAUUAAAAAAAAAUUAAUAAACCAAGCCUAUGGUACGGAGUCAGGAUCCUUUCUGUAGGCUGUGGUGGGAUAGGAAACCUGACUUAAGCUUGAGUUCCAUAACUCAAAUGCCAGAGGUACCCUGGCUGCAGGUAUGAUGAUAUCGGGAUCAAAUUGAUUUCAAUAGGAUCUCCUUUCUCUUUCCCAGGAUUUAAUCUCUACAUUAUCCUCUUUAGCUCUAGUCACAGGCACUCUCUACCUCAUUUCCUUUCAAAAUUCUCAGCCUUUACCCCACCCGGACUGGCUGAAUUCAGGAAAUACUUGACUUAACCUUAGCCAAGUCUCCAUCCACAGAGCAGGAGGGAGGAAGUCCCUGCCCUGCCAAAGGAAGCAGAGUAGGGAAGGGGAGAAUAUCUAAGUGGAUGAAGGAGAAAAGGGAAAUCAGGGUUGUAAAAGAAAACCUCCAAGUUCUGGAUUCCUGGGAGUGCAGCAAUUUUCACCACUGGGCUUUUUCUUUCCUUUUUGGUUGCUUCUUAGUCAAAAAAUCCUUAAGAAUAAGUACAGAGAAUUCUUGUCGUCACAAACUCUGAAGGAGUGAGAGAUAGAUAGCAGCAUUGAGAGAGGAGCCCAAGAGACAUGGACAUCUAGAUAAAUAUUAUAUGCUAGGGAUGUUGUCCAGAUCACCUUAAUAUCUAUCAACCUUUUAAAAAAAAUUUAUGCACAAUAACUUUAGUGAACUAUUUCCCUCUUGCUAAAGAACACUGAAACUAACGUGAUUGUAGAUACAUAUUAUUUUGUGGAGCCACCGUUAAUCAAUAAGCUAUCUUUGAAAAGUUGCACAUAUUUUGUUGUAGUUGCCCAUAUAUUCAAGGAGUACAUGAUUUAUAAAUGAGAAUGAUUAUUUCAUUUCCUGAAAAUUUCCCAAUUGUAGGCAUAAAAUUAUUUUUUGAGACCAUUAUACAAUUUACACAAAAACAUAUACAAAAAACUGACUAUAUCUUCUUUAUAACACCAGUAGGAAGUCCUCAAGAUUUAUAUCGGUUUUCUUGCAAAACAUAGAAUGACAUUCUGAACAAAUAGGUGACAUUUGAUCUAGAAAUACUGGGGUAUAGAUGUUUUCUGCAGGGUAAACUAGAAUGGCCAACUAUUUCAGUAAACUUCUACUUAUUGUUACCAAUUAAGAUAUUUCAGUCUUGCACAAUUUUCAGGAUAAGAGCUGCAAAACUUUCAAUUACACCACAUAAAGAAUAUUUGCAUAUAUAUGAAUACACCCCAGUGAAUCUGAACAUUGUGUACAUCCACAAGACUGGGAUCCUAAUUAGAAUAAGAUAUAUUCCAUACUUGAAUAAAUAUAUCAAAAUAGAUUCUACUGUUAUAUAUAACAAAAAGAAAAAAUAAGAUUUUUUUUUCAAAAAGAAUGUUUACCAUGAGUAAGAGAUGUCAAAUAGACAUACAAGAGUCCAGUAGAAAAUUAGGGGACUUUUUCUAAGAUUAUUUCUGUUCUUAGUGAGAAUCGGGGGAAAAAAGAGCAAGCAGGUAAAGGAGAGCUCUUCUUUGAAAAUGAAUCCUUUGAAAAAGAGGUUGCAAUUGUAGUAUUUUUUUCCCUGAGCCACAAAGAGCUCAUGGGAGUGAAAUAGGUGUAUAUGUAUUCUUGAUGCAUAAGUUUAUAAUAGAGAAAGAUGGAAAGACUUAGAUUUUUCCCCCAUUAGUAUCUGAUUAUAAAUGAUUAUUUCAGAUAAUUAUAGAUGCUUGUUUGACUAUUCAUUGUACCAAGCUAUAACAAACAUUAAAUCAUUCUCUGAGUAGAUUUUUCCCACCCAGUAGAAAAUGUGUUAUAUGCUUUCAAGAGAAACUUGUUGGUUCCUUGUAGAGACCAAGAUAGAUUUUGCAAUGUAUCUAUAGGUUGUAAAAAUACAAGUAUUACUUUAGCAGUUACUUUUUUCUUAUUUUUAACAACAUCAUUGUAAAUAUAGUGAACAAACAAUGUUCUAAUUCAUUUUUUAUUUUUUUCUAGGAUUGUGUGUUAUAUAUUUUUUGGGUUGUCAUUAAUUUUUAUAAUGAACUCCUACCAAUGAAUUACUAAAUCUGAAGACUCCAAGAUGGAAUUUGUUGUGGUGGUUUUCCUCAAAUUAUUAUGCCACUUGUCUAUCUUAUGCCUAUCCUGUCACCAUAUUUUUGAAGCACAAAACUUGUUUGGUUUUACAACUUAAUGUCUAGAGGAGACAUUUCCCUCGGGGUAUAUUUUACUUCUAGUCUCAACCACAUCUGAUUUAGAUUAUAUUUAAAUGAGACUUUGGGUUUGGUCUUUAGAAUUGAUGUUGAAAUGAAUGAAGACCUUUGGAAAAAAAAUGUAUUUUGCAUGUGAGAUGGACACGAAUUUGGGGGGGGGCGGGCAAGGAGGAAUAUUAUGGACUGAAUAUUUGUGUACCACCAAAAUUCAUAUGUUAAAAGCCUAACCCUCAAUGUGAUGAUAUUUGGAGGUAAGACCUUUGUGGGGUAAUUAGGUCAUGAAAAUAGAAUCUUCGUGAGUGGGGUCACUGUUCUUAUAACAGGCAUGAAAGCUGACCCUCUCUUUCUACUCCUUGCCAUGUGAGGGUACAACAAGAAGAAGAUCAUCUGCAAACCUAACUGGGAUUUGACCAGAUGCCAGUCUGCAGUUAUUACUCAGUCCUGAUUAUGUCAAGAGAAAGACUGAGGGCUAGAUCAAAUAAGGAAAGAAUAUUACCAAGAGGAAGUUGAACAGCCACCAUUACAUGGUACUUGGAGUUUGUAUCUGUUAGCGGAAAUGGGCUGGGUUCUCUAGGAUGAAGAUUCCACCUAAACUCAACAUCUAUGGAAGGGUGAUGAAGGAAGCAGGAUUAAUAGAACAGAGAGUCAAGCUGUGAUGCAGGCCCAGUACCUUCAGCCAACUUACAAGGACCUUGGAUCUAACACGGCUUCUGAGUAGUCCCACAUGAGUCCGGAUGCCUUCCCCCAGAUCAUGGAGAAAACCUGAUGCCUAAUCAUUUGGUUCAGUAUCUGCCUACCCCACUCAACCAACACCUCACGAAGAAGCUAGGCACCAGUCACAUAGCAAGGCUGGAGCUCAGUCUUACCAGGAGUGGUGACCAGAUUAGAUGAAAGGAAGUCUAGGAUCAGGAGAAAAAGGUGACAAUGUUUCAAGGAUGUGGGUACUGUCACUGAUGUCAAAUAGUGCCAAAAGCUCUAAAUAAAAGGAACUCUGGAAUGGAGAAGUGACUGUUGACUCCUGAUUUCCCUUUGGCAGAUGACCAGAUAGAAUCAGCAUUAACAACGUGCAGAAAAUGCCAAAUGCAGGGAAAAUGACAAAUGUGCCAGAUGAUUUAAUAUCGAGUAAAGAUAAAGGUUAACAGAGAUGAUCUUGUCUUCUUCAUUUGCAAAAUAAGUUAAAAGUGCUUUUUGCCUUUGCAAAAUACAAAGUAUGAGGGAUUGCACAUGGCUAUCUCUCAGGUACAUUCCACUUGAAAACCAAGAUAGUGGUUUUUAGGUAUGUUCUAUAAAAAUAUUAUACACUACUGGUUACACAGCUAUUUGACCAGCAUAUGUUUAAUAGUAAAAGGGAAUAGUCAAGCUCAGAAUUUGUGGGAAAACCAGAUAAUGAUAAUAAAUUUUUUCAAAUAGGUUGAAGAAUAAUAAUUUUACCUGAGAAUGUGUCUGGUAUAAGUUCAUAAUGAGGAGCCAGAGAAAAAAGUCAUCCAUUCUAUGUGUACCUUUUGCCAUUAAUAUCAGUCUUUCUUAUUCUUAGCUUUUUACUGAGGGAGUCUGAUGGCAGAGAAUGGUGGAUUAAUAUGAACCCAGCACCAUACUCUCUGGCAGGAAUGGACUGAGCAAUGCUUCUGUGCUCAAUUUUUCCCCUCUUCUGUCUAAUCAUGUUACCUUUAGGAUAUUUUUAUAGUUUUAAAAAUGAUAAAUACCCAAUGCAGAGAAACAUGAAGAAAAGAUUUAAAAGUCAGCAUGAUUAAAAUCAGAUAUAGUCAUCACAUCUCUGAAAAUUUAUUUACUCAGGCUGCACCUUACUCCUUUCAUCCACAUUUGAACAGAACAUUAUGGCAUACUAAUAUGGCCAUUCAAAUAUAACCCCUACUAAGAUCUUGGAUACUUUUUUCAAAAAGUUAUACCAAGUAUUCUGCUUCUACUUUUCUUGGCAGGACCAAUUUUCUAUUUCAGUAAGUACUCUUCUACAACAUCCAUUAAAUGACUAUAUACUAUUCCAUUGUAUGGAUAUAGUAUAACUUACUUAAACCAUUCCUGAUAAUUGGAGUUCUAAAUUGUCUUAUUGUGCUAUUAUUAAUAAUGCUGGUACAUUAAGUUUUAUUCUUUGGCAUUUGUAGUUUAUUUCAAACAAGGAUAUCAACUAAUGAAAGAAUGAUUAAGAAAGAAGCAUAUAUCCUAUUUUUAUGAAUAAAUACAUGAAUUAGAAGAAAGGGUUAUAAAAGUUAUGAAAAAUGUCCUUUGUCAGCUUGCAACAACUUGGUACAAUAUUGAAUUAAUCAUUACAUUAGUUCUUCCACACUAAAAGAAACUGGUAUAUUUUUUGAGUCUGUGUUUUGAUUCUAGCAUGUAAUCAUAAUGUUAGACAAAUCAGAACGUUUCGUUUUGUGAAAUCUCAUUGAUAUCUGUAAAGUAUAUUACAGAAUCUUCUUAGUAGCUCACUAAAUACCAGAAGUAUUGAAGUUGAGCUUUGAAAUAACGUGAAAUAGGCAGAAAGUUAUAUAUCCAUAUGAUCUACUAAUAAAAAAGGGAACUAUUAGAAACCAUAUUUUAUACCUUUGUAUCAAAUCUCAUAUUUAAAUAUGAUAUUACAAUACUUAUUUUAAAAGUAUGAGUUAUCGGGAAGCAUGUGGAAAAUCUAACAGGAAAAGGAAUAGAGAUGGCUCAACUACAAUACCUGUUAAUGGAGCAAGAUAUGAGGAUGUGAUAGGCUUCUGUUCAAAUAUGGGUGGAGGGAGUAAGGGGCAGCCUGAAUAAAUAAAUUUUCUAAGAUAUGAUGCAAACACUGGUAAACUGAUUUUAAUCAUGGAAAAACUUAAUUUGCUAAUUAGUUUCUUUCUAAUGAGUUUAUUGUAUGUAAAACUAUGUACUGUGCUAUUUUUUUCUACCCCAGAAAAACAAGGCCUCUCAAAUUAAUAUACACAUCCAAACCAAGGAGAUGUUUUGUUGCGAUGUGUUAGGAAAGGAAAUAUUAUUCCAUUCCCUUGGAAUUAAUUUUGGACUCACAGCUGUACUAAAUUCCAUUUUGCUUUCUCCAAACUUAAAACAAAUUCCAUGAAUAUUAGGACUCAGAACACAAAGUCUUUUGAAAACGCGUAUAAAGCAGCUGUUUACACAUCUCUUUUCUGUUUCAUUGCUAAGCUGCUCAUGAGUAUUUACAGAUUCAGGAGUGCAGAGAAUUCUCCAGAGCCACAUCCAGCACACUGUGUGGCACAAUAUUAAAGAGGAGUAUGUAUUGUUCUCAAGAUGAGAUUCUUUAAGGCUGAUGCAUAUUUUAAUGAUCUGAUAAUAAAUACUAAAAUGAA